Molecule: transfer RNA, 73 nt
Filed under: Acetomicrobium flavidum
Lineage: Bacteria; Thermotogati; Synergistota; Synergistia; Synergistales; Acetomicrobiaceae
Also listed under: 1 other name
Description: tRNA_Glu_TTC
Rfam family: tRNA
About the family: Transfer RNA (tRNA) molecules are approximately 80 nucleotides in length. Their secondary structure includes four short double-helical elements and three loops (D, anti-codon, and T loops).
Source: RNAcentral
GGUCCCAUCGUCUAGAGGCCUAGGACACCGCCCUUUCAAGGCGGCGGCACGGGUUCGAAUCCCGUUGGGACCG